AUAUCAUGGUGUGGACAUUUUCUUAUAAGAUCAUUAUAUCUUUCCCAUGCAUCAUGGAACUGUUCUCCCGGGAUUUAGGAAAAUGCCAUAAUUUUUCUUCUCAUUU
Cornus florida is the source of this 106-nucleotide small nucleolar RNA. Lineage: Eukaryota; Viridiplantae; Streptophyta; Magnoliopsida; Cornales; Cornaceae. The record is from RefSeq and is a predicted model, not a curated record.